This 602-nucleotide ribosomal RNA is filed under the name uncultured Bacteroidota bacterium. RNAcentral describes it as "bacterial SSU rRNA". It matches the Rfam family "Bacterial small subunit ribosomal RNA", at positions 312 to 916 of the family's 1533-position model. Lineage: Bacteria; Pseudomonadati; Bacteroidota. The record is from RNAcentral.
AGGUUUCCUCAGUCGACGAUUCCUACGGGAGGCAGCAGUGAGGAAUAUUGGACAAUGGGCGAGAGCCUGAUCCAGCCAUGCCGCGUGCAGGAAGACUGCCCUAUGGGUUGUAAACUGCUUUUAUACAGGAAGAAUAAGCCUUACGUGUAAGGUGAUGACGGUACUGUAAGAAUAAGGACCGGCUAACUCCGUGCCAGCAGCCGCGGUAAUACGGAGGGUCCGAGCGUUAUCCGGAAUUAUUGGGUUUAAAGGGUCCGUAGGCGGAUGAUUAAGUCAGGGGUGAAAGUUUGCAGCUCAACUGUAAAAUUGCCUUUGAUACUGGUUAUCUUGAGUUGUAUUGAAGUAGGCGGAAUAUGUAGUGUAGCGGUGAAAUGCAUAGAUAUUACAUAGAACACCAAUUGCGAAGGCAGCUUACUAAGUACUAACUGACGCUGAUGGACGAAAGCGUGGGUAGCGAACAGGAUUAGAUACCCUGGUAGUCCACGCCGUAAACGAUGGAUACUAGCUGUUCGGGGCCUUGAGCUCUGAGCGGCUAAGCGAAAGUGAUAAGUAUCCCACCUGGGGAGUACGUUCGCAAGAAUGAAACUCAAAGGAAUUGACGG